UACAGGGGGUGCAAGCGUUAUUCGGAUUUACUGGGCGUAAAGCGCGCGUAGGCGGCUUAGCAAGUUUGGUGUGAAAGCCCUCGACUCAAUCGGGGAAGUGCAUUGAAUACUGCUAGGCUUGAGUGUGGGAGAGGAGAACGGAAUUCCUGGUGUAGAGGUGAAAUUCGUAGAUAUCAGGAGGAACAACAGAAGCGAAGGCGGUUCUCUGGACCACAACUGACGCUGAAGUGCGAAAGCGUGGGGAGCAAACAGG
This 253-nucleotide ribosomal RNA is filed under the name uncultured bacterium. RNAcentral's name for it is "partial 16S ribosomal RNA". It matches the Rfam family "Bacterial small subunit ribosomal RNA", at positions 524 to 776 of the family's 1533-position model. The record is from RNAcentral.